Molecule: ribosomal RNA, 305 nt
Filed under: uncultured bacterium
Lineage: Bacteria
Description: partial 16S ribosomal RNA
Rfam family: Bacterial small subunit ribosomal RNA
Source: RNAcentral
ACAGCAGUAGCCACGGUAAUACGUAGGGUGCAAGCGUUAAUCGGAAUUACUGGGCGUAAAGCGUGCGCAGGCGGUUAUAUAAGACAGAUGUGAAAUCCCCGGGCUCAACCUGGGAACUGCAUUUGUGACUGUAUAGCUAGAGUACGGCAGAGGGGGAUGGAAUUCCGCGUGUAGCAGUGAAAUGCGUAGAUAUGCGGAGGAACACCGAUGGCGAAGGCAAUCCCCUGGGCCUGUACUGACGCUCAUGCACGAAAGCGUGGGGAGCAAACAGGAUUAGAUACCCGCGUAGUUCCUGUCUCUUAUAC